Molecule: ribosomal RNA, 254 nt
Filed under: uncultured bacterium
Lineage: Bacteria
Description: partial 16S ribosomal RNA
Rfam family: Bacterial small subunit ribosomal RNA
Source: RNAcentral
UACGGGGGGAGCAAGCGUUGUUCGGAUUUACUGGGCGUAAAGGGCGCGUAGGCGGUCAGCACAAGUCAGUUGUGAAAUCUCCGGGCUUAACUCGGAAAGGUCAACUGAUACUGUGCGACUAGAGUGCAGAAGGGGCAACUGGAAUUCUCGGUGUAGCGGUGAAAUGCGUAGAUAUCGAGAGGAACACCUGCGGCGAAGGCGGCGCUCUGGGCCGGUACUGACACUGAGGAGCGAAAGCGUGGGGAUCAAACAGG